AUACAUGCAGUCGAGCGGAGUUGAUAAGAAGCUUGCUUCCUUGAUACUUAGCGGCGGACGGGUGAGUAACACGUAGGCAACCUGCCCUCAAGUUUGGGACAACUACCGGAAACGGUAGCUAAUACCGAAUAAUUGUUUUCUUCGCCUGAAGGAAACUGGAAAGACGGAGCAAUCUGUCACUUGGGGAUGGGCCUGCGGCGCAUUAGCUAGUUGGUGAGGUAACGGCUCACCAAGGCGACGAUGCGUAGCCGACCUGAGAGGGUGAUCGGCCACACUGGGACUGAGACACGGCCCAGACUCCUACGGGAGGCAGCAGUAGGGAAUCUUCCGCAAUGGGCGAAAGCCUGACGGAGCAAUGCCGCGUGAGUGAUGAAGGUUUUCGGAUCGUAAAGCUCUGUUGCCAGGGAAGAACGCUUGGGAGAGUAACUGCUCUCAAGGUGACGGUACCUGAGAAGAAAGCCCCGGCUAACUACGUGCCAGCAGCCGCGGUAAUACGUAGGGGGCAAGCGUUGUCCGGAAUUAUUGGGCGUAAAGCGCGCGCAGGCGGUCAUUUAAGUCUGGUGUUUAAUCCCGGGGCUCAACCCCGGAUCGCACUGGAAACUGGGUGACUUGAGUGCAGAAGAGGAGAGUGGAAUUCCACGUGUAGCGGUGAAAUGCGUAGAUAUGUGGAGGAACACCAGUGGCGAAGGCGACUCUCUGGGCUGUAACUGACGCUGAGGCGCGAAAGCGUGGGGAGCAAACAGGAUUAAAUACCCUGGGUAGUCCACGCCCGAAAACGAU
Molecule: ribosomal RNA, 780 nt
Filed under: Paenibacillus xylanexedens
Lineage: Bacteria; Bacillati; Bacillota; Bacilli; Caryophanales; Paenibacillaceae
Description: bacterial SSU rRNA
Rfam family: Bacterial small subunit ribosomal RNA
Source: RNAcentral